GGAAUCUUAGUUGAUAAAUAUGACAGUAAUGGAGGUGAAGAAGCCAUUCCCAAUCCUCAUUUUGUUACUACUUGUCAUCGUUGCUCAGAUGAGCAUCCCUCAUGUGGAGGCUGUACCCUGCAACGCGAAGAAGAGCCUUAUAAAGAAGGACGUUUGUGUACUCGAAAUAAAUUGUGUAGAAGCAUGCAAGAAGGUGGGAUUCAAUUUUGGACAAUGCAAAGGGUUACGUAGCAAAUGUUUCUGUAGGCAACGUUGUUAGCUGAAUCGUGUACAAAAUUAUAUUUUUGGUCCUAUAACUUUAGAUUAUUAAUACUAUAAUUUGGCUUGAUGCUUCAGUUUUUAUUACAUAUGAUGGGUAUCUCUAUUUGUUGGGAUAGUGUCGACGUGUCAACUAGUUGAUAAGACACUAGUUAGAUUGAAUGUUGUAAUACUCGGUAGAAAAUGACAUUCUGUGUUAACAAAAUUUACGGCAUUCUGUAUUUUAAUUAA
Sesamum indicum (sesame) is the source of this 489-nucleotide long non-coding RNA. RefSeq lists it as uncharacterized. NCBI's taxonomy places the organism in Eukaryota, Viridiplantae, Streptophyta, Magnoliopsida, Lamiales, Pedaliaceae. The record is from RefSeq and is a predicted model, not a curated record.